RNAcentral lists this small RNA (28 nucleotides) under Bombyx mori (domestic silkworm). RNAcentral describes it as "piRNA piR-bmo-1292995". Lineage: Eukaryota; Metazoa; Arthropoda; Insecta; Lepidoptera; Bombycidae. The record is from RNAcentral.
UACUAAGGAUGGUGAGAACCAGACAGGG